Molecule: ribosomal RNA, 149 nt
Filed under: Pteropus alecto (black flying fox)
Lineage: Eukaryota; Metazoa; Chordata; Mammalia; Chiroptera; Pteropodidae
Source: RNAcentral
GUCUAUGGCCAUGCUACCCUGAACACGCCCGAGCCCAUCUGAUCUCGGAAGCUAAGCAAGUUAGUACAUGCCUUGUACUAAGUAGGUUAGUACAAGCCUGGUUAGUACAUGGAUGGGAGACCACCUAGGAAGACCAGGUGCUGUAGGCU